GACGAACGCUGGCGGCGUGCUUAACACAUGCAAGUCGAACGCUGAAGCUCAGCUUUUGUUGGGUGGAUGAGUGGCGAACGGGUGAGUAACACGUGAGUAACCGGCCUCCUUCUUUGGUAUAACGCCCGGAAACGGGUGCUAAUACUGUAUAUUCACUGGUCUUCGCAUGGGGGUUGGUGGAAAGGGUUUUUCUGGCGGGGGAUGGGCUCGCGGCCUAUCAGCUUGUUGGUGGGGUGAUGGCCUACCAAGGCUUUGACGGGUAGCCGGCCUGAGAGGGUGACCGGUCACAUUGGGACGGAGCUAAGGCCUAGACUAGUACGGGGGGGAGAAGUGGGGAAUAUUGCACAAUGGGUGCAAGAGUGAUGCCGCGACGCCGCGGGAGGGAUGGGGGCCUUCGGGUUGUGAUGCUCUGUCGGUCAUGGUGAAGCCGAAACAAUGGUUGUGGUGAGGGUAGUGGGUAAAGAAGCGCCGGCUAACUACGUG
This 483-nucleotide ribosomal RNA is filed under the name uncultured bacterium. RNAcentral's name for it is "partial 16S ribosomal RNA". It matches the Rfam family "Bacterial small subunit ribosomal RNA", at positions 28 to 507 of the family's 1533-position model. The record is from RNAcentral.